UCUAUGAUGUCUCUUACCAACCUAUCGCUAUCAUUUUGGGGUUAUGCAUUAGAGACAAUUACAUUCACUUUAAAUAGGGCACCAUCUAAGUCCAUGGAGACGACACUGUAUGAACUAUCGUUUGGCAAGAAACCUAAGUUGUUGUUUCUUAAGGUUUGGGGCUACAAUGCUUAUGUCGAUAGGCUUCGGCCAGAAAAGCUCGAACCCAAAGCGGAAAAUUGUGUCUUCAUAGAAUACCCAAACAAGACGAUUGGGUAUACCUUCUAUCUCAGAUCUGAGGGCAAAGUGUUUGUCGCUAGGAACAGGUCCUUUCUCGAGAAAGAGUUUCUCUCAAAAGAAUUGAGUGGGAGGAAGAUAGAACUUGAUGAGGUUGUUGAACCUUCA
RNAcentral lists this ribosomal RNA (384 nucleotides) under Triticum aestivum (bread wheat). Its description in RNAcentral is "partial small subunit ribosomal RNA". Lineage: Eukaryota; Viridiplantae; Streptophyta; Magnoliopsida; Poales; Poaceae. The record is from RNAcentral.